AGAGACAGCAGCAGCCGCGGGAACACGUAGGUGGCAAGCGUUGUCCGGAAUUAUUGGGCGUAAAGCGCGCGCAGGCGGAUCAGUCAGUCUGUCUUAAAAGUUCGGGGCUUAACCCCGUGAGGGGAUGGAAACUGCUGAUCUAGAGUAUCGGAGGGGAAAGUGGAAUUCCUAGUGUAGCGGUGAAAUGCGUAGAUAUUAGGAAGAACACCAGUGGCGAAGGCGACUUUCUGGACGAAAACUGACGCUGAGGCGCGAAAGCCAGGGGAGCGAACGGGAUUAGAUACCCCGGUAGUCCCUGUCUCUUAUACC
This 309-nucleotide ribosomal RNA is filed under the name uncultured bacterium. Its description in RNAcentral is "partial 16S ribosomal RNA". It matches the Rfam family "Bacterial small subunit ribosomal RNA", at positions 504 to 808 of the family's 1533-position model. The record is from RNAcentral.